AUACGUAGGGGGCAAGCGUUAUCCGGAUUUACUGGGUGUAAAGGGAGCGUAGACGGUAUGGCAAGUCUGAUGUGAAAGCCCGGGGCUCAACCGCGGGACUGCAUUGGAAACUGUCAGACUUGAGUGCAGGAGAGGUAAGUGGAAUUCCUAGUGUAGCGGUGAAAUGCGUAGAUAUUAGGAGGAACACCGGUGGCGAAGGCGGCUUACUGGACUGUAACUGACGUUGAGGCUCGAAAGCGUGGGGAGCAAACAGGAUUAGAUCCCCUGGUAGUCCACGCCGUAAACGAUGAAUACUAGGUGUUGGGAGACAAUAGUUUCUCGGUGCCGCAGCAAACGCAAUAAGUAUUCCACCUGGGGAGUACGUUCGCAAGAAUGAAACUCAAAGGAAUUGACGGGG
Molecule: ribosomal RNA, 397 nt
Filed under: uncultured bacterium
Lineage: Bacteria
Description: partial 16S ribosomal RNA
Rfam family: Bacterial small subunit ribosomal RNA
Source: RNAcentral